CUUUUGGUUACCAAUCAG
RNAcentral lists this small nuclear RNA (18 nucleotides) under Arabidopsis thaliana (thale cress). Its description in RNAcentral is "snRNA_05661". Lineage: Eukaryota; Viridiplantae; Streptophyta; Magnoliopsida; Brassicales; Brassicaceae. The record is from RNAcentral.